GACGAACGCUGGCGGCGUGCUUAACACAUGCAAGUCGAACGGAAAGGCCUUUUCGGAGGUACUCGAGUGGCGAACGGGUGAGUAACACGUGGGUGAUCUUCCCUGCACUCUGGGAUAAGCCUGGGCAACUGGGUCUAAUACCGGAUAGGACCGCACUUUAGUGUGUGUGGUGGAAAGUUUUUUCGGUGUAGGAUGAGCCCGCGGCCGAUCAGCUUGUUGGUGGGGUACUGGCCUACCAAGGCGGCGACGUGUAGCCGGACUGGGAGGUUGGUCGGCCACAUUGGGACUGAGAUACGGCCCAGACUCCUACGGGAGGCAGCAGUGGGGAAGAUUGCACAAUGGGCGCAAGCCUGAUGCAGCGACGCCGCGGGGGGGAUGACGGCCUUCGGGUUGUAAACUCCUUUCGCCAGGGACGAAGCGGUUUGUGACGGUACCUGGAGAAGAAGCACCGGCUAACUACGUG
This 463-nucleotide ribosomal RNA is filed under the name uncultured bacterium. RNAcentral describes it as "partial 16S ribosomal RNA". It matches the Rfam family "Bacterial small subunit ribosomal RNA", at positions 28 to 507 of the family's 1533-position model. The record is from RNAcentral.